Carassius auratus (goldfish) is the source of this 209-nucleotide long non-coding RNA. RefSeq lists it as uncharacterized. Lineage: Eukaryota; Metazoa; Chordata; Actinopteri; Cypriniformes; Cyprinidae. The record is from RefSeq and is a predicted model, not a curated record. The transcript is spliced from 3 exons.
GGUUACUUCAGAGCGGAUACCAAGGACAGCUAAACUACAGGCACAGUGAUGGUUCAUACAGCACAUUUGGCUACGAUGCAUCCAAUACAUGGUUGACCACCUUCGUCAUGAGGUCUUUCGGCCUAGCAAGGCGUUUCAUCUUCAUUGAUCCCAGUGUCCUCCAGAGUGCACAGGAUUGGUUGAUCAGCAAGCAGGGUUCAGAUGGCUGU